CACUGGCUGACGAGCGGCGGACGGGUGAGUAAUGUCUGGGAAACUGCCUGAUGGAGGGGGAUAACUACUGGAAACGGUAGCUAAUACCGCAUAACGUCGCAAGACCAAAGUGGGGGACCUUCGGGCCUCAUGCCAUCAGAUGUGCCCAGAUGGGAUUAGCUAGUAGGUGGGGUAACGGCUCACCUAGGCGACGAUCCCUAGCUGGUCUGAGAGGAUGACCAGCCACACUGGAACUGAGACACGGUCCAGACUCCUACGGGAGGCAGCAGUGGGGAAUAUUGCACAAUGGGCGCAAGCCUGAUGCAGCCAUGCCGCGUGUAUGAAGAAGGCCUUCGGGUUGUAAAGUACUUUCAGCGAGGAGGAAGGCAUUAAGGUUAAUAACCUUGGCGAUUGACGUUACUCGCAGAAGAAGCACCGGCUAACUCCGUGCCAGCAGCCGCGGUAAUACGGAGGGUGCAAGCGUUAAUCGGAAUUACUGGGCGUAAAGCGCACGCAGGCGGUCUGUCAAGUCGGAUGUGAAAUCCCCGGGCUCAACCCUGGGAACUGCAUUCGAAACUGGCAGGCUAGAGUCUUGUAGAGGGGGGUAGAAUUCCAGGUGUAGCGGUGAAAUGCGUAGAGAUCUGGAGGGAAUACCCGGUGGCGAAGGCGGCCCCCUGGACAAAGACUGACGCUCAGGUGCGAAAAGCGUGGGGAGCAAACAGGAUUAGAUACCCUGGUAGUCCACGCCGUAAACGAUGUCGACUUGGAGGUUGUGCCCUUGAGGGCGUGGCUUCCGGAGCUAACGCGUUAAGUCGACCGCCUGGGGAGUACGGCCGCAAGGUUAAAACUCAAAUGAAUUGACGGGGGCCCGCACAAGCGGUGGAGCAUGUGGUUUAAUUCGAUGCAACGCGAAGAACCUUACCUACUCUUGACAUCCAGAGAACUUAGCAGAGAUGCUUUGGUGCCUUCGGGAACUGUGAGACAGGUGCUGCAUGGCUGUCGUCAGCUCGUGUUGUGAAAUGUUGGGUUAAGUCCCGCAACGAGCGCAACCCUUAUCCUUUGUUGCCAGCGGUCCGGCCGGGAACUCAAAGGAGACUGCCAGUGAUAAACUGGAGGAAGGUGGGGAUGACGUCAAGUCAUCAUGGCCCUUACGAGUAGGGCUACACACGUGCUACAAUGGCAUAUACAAAGAGAAGCGACCUCGCGAGAGCAAGCGGACCUCAUAAAGUAUGUCGUAGUCCGGAUUGGAGUCUGCAACUCGACUCCAUGAAGUCGGAAUCGCUAGUAAUCGUAGAUCAGAAUGCUACGGUGAAUACGUUCCCGGGCCUUGUACACACCGCCCGUCACACCAUGGGAGUGGGUUGCAAAAGAAGUAGGUAGCUUAACCUUCGCGAGGCGAUC
RNAcentral lists this ribosomal RNA (1380 nucleotides) under Klebsiella aerogenes. Its description in RNAcentral is "bacterial SSU rRNA". It matches the Rfam family "Bacterial small subunit ribosomal RNA", at positions 81 to 1454 of the family's 1533-position model. The record is from RNAcentral. Lineage: Bacteria; Pseudomonadati; Pseudomonadota; Gammaproteobacteria; Enterobacterales; Enterobacteriaceae.